This 644-nucleotide ribosomal RNA is filed under the name uncultured Leifsonia sp. RNAcentral describes it as "bacterial SSU rRNA". It matches the Rfam family "Bacterial small subunit ribosomal RNA", at positions 232 to 886 of the family's 1533-position model. Lineage: Bacteria; Bacillati; Actinomycetota; Actinomycetes; Micrococcales; Microbacteriaceae. The record is from RNAcentral.
CGCGGCCUAUCAGCUUGUUGGUGAGGUAACGGCUCACCAAGGCGACGACGGGUAGCCGGCCUGAGAGGGUGACCGGCCACACUGGGACUGAGACACGGCCCAGACUCCUACGGGAGGCAGCAGUGGGGAAUAUUGCACAAUGGGCGCAAGCCUGAUGCAGCAACGCCGCGUGAGGGACGACGGCCUUCGGGUUGUAAACCUCUUUUAGUAGGGAAGAAGCGAAAGUGACGGUACCUGCAGAAAAAGCACCGGCUAACUACGUGCCAGCAGCCGCGGUAAUACGUAGGGUGCAAGCGUUGUCCGGAAUUAUUGGGCGUAAAGAGCUCGUAGGCGGUCCGUCGCGUCUGCUGUGAAAACCAGAGGCUCAACCUCUGGCCUGCAGUGGGUACGGGCGGACUAGAGUGCGGUAGGGGAGAUUGGAACUCCUGGUGUAGCGGUGGAAUGCGCAGAUAUCAGGAAGAACACCGAUGGCGAAGGCAGAUCUCUGGGCCGUAACUGACGCUGAGGAGCGAAAGCAUGGGGAGCGAACAGGAUUAGAUACCCUGGUAGUCCAUGCCGUAAACGUUGGGAACUAGAUGUGGGGACCAUUCCACGGUCUCCGUGUCGCAGCUAACGCAUUAAGUUCCCCGCCUGGGGAGUACGGA